GUCUCCGGAAAGAAUAGGAAGUGCCGUAUGACACUCCAAGCUGCAGCGGUGGUUGUGCGAUUGCGCUCCGCCCGUCUUUUCCCAUCCACCUUUUGCCCAUGUUUUCGCCGUGAAAGCCUUGGUUCAACUGGUCGGGAAAGUUUGGGCUGCUCAGCUUUCGCACCACUGCUGUGUGUGUGAUUUGGAACGGGUCUCUGAGGU
Small nucleolar RNA from Ipomoea triloba (trilobed morning glory), 201 nucleotides. RefSeq annotates it as small nucleolar RNA Z112. NCBI's taxonomy places the organism in Eukaryota, Viridiplantae, Streptophyta, Magnoliopsida, Solanales, Convolvulaceae. The transcript has a single exon. The record is from RefSeq and is a predicted model, not a curated record.